GUAAGUUUUAACAUUUAUUGUAGUUUUAUGAGCCUAAAGUGAACAAUAAAGGGAUCAAUUGAUGUGCUGGGUGCGUUUCACAUUUCCUAUGUCUGUUUUUUUGCUAUAUUACUUUGUCUUUCUUAAUAACAAGACUUUCAUGUCCGGUUAAUCUGGAGAUGGAGUCUUUGGUCUUUAACUUGUUUUGUCCUCUGGUUGUACACUUUGUACAGCCCGAGGACCCCAUGUUUUCUUUUUUUUUUUUUUAAAGGAUACACGGCACACCAUGCUAAGACAUAUCACAUUUUCAGCUUAUAGCUCUUUGGGAAUCAAAUGCGGCAGUUUGCUGAUUUCCGCCUGAUGGCCUGGCGCAGCAGGUAGGGGCGAACUCUAUGUCUGAGUUGGUCUUUGCUCAAGCAGUCCAGAAAUGGCUCAGAUAUGAUCCAGAUCGUACGGGUGGCGCGCAGGACGCACAUCAUCCAUCCCCAUCCCGGAGUAAAUAAUAAAAAGUGACGUGAAACAUAGAAAUGUAAAUAGGAAACUUUGUCUUUUAAUAAAGUAUUUUGCAAAUGAUACAUGUCUAUUGACCUUUUUGUUUUUUU
This is a long non-coding RNA of Oreochromis aureus, 581 nucleotides long. The record is from Ensembl. NCBI's taxonomy places the organism in Eukaryota, Metazoa, Chordata, Actinopteri, Cichliformes, Cichlidae.